CAUAUACUUUCUCCGUCCCAAAAUUCUUGUCUUAGGUUUGUCUAAAAAUAGAUGUAUCAAAAUACUAAAACGUGAAUAGAUACAUUUAUAUUUAUACAAAUCUAAGAUAAGAAUUUUGGGACGGACGGAGUAUAAA
Non-coding RNA from Hordeum vulgare subsp. vulgare (domesticated barley), 136 nucleotides. The record is from Rfam. NCBI's taxonomy places the organism in Eukaryota, Viridiplantae, Streptophyta, Magnoliopsida, Poales, Poaceae.